ACUGCUUCAUGACAAGAGGUUCCAUGCUGACAGCAUCUGGGGAAACCUCGCUGGGCCUCGGAGGUCCUUCCUAUGGGUGAUAUGCCACCCACCCUGGGUCGAGAGUCAGAGAAGCGCGGCCGGUCCCACUGCUGGCUUCGCCUGCCUGUUUCCCACAGCUUCCCUCUAGUCAUCCACCUACACCUGCUGCCCAGUUCCCUAGAAACCUGCCUAGUGUAAAAGGAAGCAACUCUGGAGAACAGAAUGAGAAAUCAGAAAGCAAGGCCCUGUCCUCUGAGUUCUGUCCUGGAUGGGGACUGAGGAAGUUUUAUGUGGUCCAGAGAGGCUGCAUCAGUCUCAGGCCCCUAAGCCUUGCCUGGUUCAACAGUAUUAUUUCACUCACGCUGGUCACCCCAUUGUUAGAAAGAGCAAGGAAAGGAGGAUGAGAAAGGAAGAGAGGGAGGGAGAAAAUUGUCCCCAAGAAAAGGAAACUAUUGUCUGGUAAGAUUCAGCCCACUUUUCUUGUUAAAUGAUGUGAAUUCAAAUUGUUGAUAUAUAUCACCAACUUGACAUGUGAAACUAUUGUCUCAAAGCAUAUUAUAAAAUACUAUAUAUGAAAACAUUGACAAAUAUACUGUAGUUGAUGAGUACCAGAUAUGAUUAUUGUUCUUUUCAUGUGUGAUUACAGGUGAUGGACAGAUGGUUUCCUCAAUUUAUAU
Molecule: long non-coding RNA, 698 nt
Filed under: Homo sapiens (human)
Lineage: Eukaryota; Metazoa; Chordata; Mammalia; Primates; Hominidae
Description: non-protein coding LINC00370:2
Source: RNAcentral